RNAcentral lists this ribosomal RNA (292 nucleotides) under uncultured bacterium. RNAcentral's name for it is "partial 16S ribosomal RNA". It matches the Rfam family "Bacterial small subunit ribosomal RNA", at positions 505 to 796 of the family's 1533-position model. The record is from RNAcentral.
GUGCCAGCAGCCGCGGUAAUACGAAGGGGGCUAGCGUUGUUCGGAUUUACUGGGCGUAAAGCGCGUGUAGGCGGGUCGUUAAGUUGGGGGUGAAAUCCCGAGGCUCAACCUCGGAACUGCCUUCAAAACUGGCGGCCUGGAGCAAAGAAGAGGCGAGUGGAAUUCCGAGUGUAGAGGUGAAAUUCGUAGAUAUUCGGAGGAACACCAGUGGCGAAGGCGACUCGCUGGUCUUUUGCUGACGCUGAGACGCGAAAGCGUGGGGAGCAAACAGGAUUAGAAACCCUCGUAGUCC